Zootermopsis nevadensis is the source of this 1252-nucleotide long non-coding RNA. RefSeq lists it as uncharacterized. The record is from RefSeq and is a predicted model, not a curated record. Lineage: Eukaryota; Metazoa; Arthropoda; Insecta; Blattodea; Termopsidae.
UGCGAAGCUAUCAGUCUGUCAACUUCUUGAGCAUCUUGCAGAGCAUCUGAAUAGCGAUCCUCUACAACAGCAUUGAGAUUGAAACAACUUGGAAUCUGUGGUGCAACCUGUCAACCCGUUGUAAUGGCAACCGUGGCUUCACAGCGGUCAACAGAGCUGUGUUAGGAGAGAGGGAGUCAAGCCUUCUUGCUGCCCACGCAAAGCCUGGUAAGGUCUCUAGAGACGUCCCAUGGUGCAGCAAGAACUAGUUUCAAGAAGUCUUCUGCCACUGCAGCUAGAAGAAACCAAGCCUGUAUCCCUGCCGGCACUUCGUAUUGAUGGAGCCCAACCUCACAACUGAAGGCACAUUUAUUCCACCCCCACCUCCUCCUCAGCUGAAGAAGAACGGAACGGGAUUGCUCAGAGAAGAUUUUCCUUUGUGGGAACAGUCUCGGAGAAUGCGAGAUAGAGAAUAUAAUGAGCUGAGAAGUGGCACGUUAAAGAAGAUACGUGAAUGUGAUUGAGAAAUACAAUUAACACGAAAGAAACCGGUGUAUGGGUAUGGAUUGAAUUACAUAACAGCAAAUUUGUGUUUGAUUCUGACUGUAUUCUUACGCUAUAUGAAUACACAAUAGUCUUUCCGGUAAGAGUAUAGUAAGAGUGAAGACGUUAGGACGAUAAUUAGUGACAGUUUGCUAGCAGAAACGACGGAAAAUUUGAAUUGCUUAUUAGAAAAUUCUGAAGCUAUAAAUUGGAAAGUUAAGUAAAUAAUUUAGCUGCAUCAGCUUGAGGGGUAAAUUUUAAUAAAUUUAAAUAGGGAGGGCUGCACGAGAAGCAUGUAGUGGCAACUUGGAACUUGGGAAACAUCUCAGCAUUUGCUUGAAGACAGAGAAAAACUAAGUAAACGUGUGCCGAGAUGACCGGUCUCAGGACCUUCCGGAUACACACUGACUACUAGCCAGCUGUCCGGCAGACAAAAGGAAAUAUAUAGACGAUCCCUAAAUUUCCCUAACUUGUAACGUCGACUUUAUUGAUAAUCUUAAUUUAAAACCAAAGCUCAUCGAAAUAACAUGCAAGAAUUAAGUCCGUACCGCAAAGAAAACCAUACUUUAUCAUUACAAGGAUCAAAGGUUAAUUGUUGUUCAGCCUGAGAAGGUUAUGAAACUCAGCAUUACUGGCCGUUAAAGCAGGUGGUAUAUAUACUUACCAUUGAAUUUUAAAGGGUUUAAAUUACACUUUUUAAUAUAACCUAGUAUUGACAGAUGUUGGCCUA